RNAcentral lists this long non-coding RNA (1041 nucleotides) under Bos indicus x Bos taurus (hybrid cattle). Its description in RNAcentral is "lncRNA (ENSBIXG00000008701.1)". Lineage: Eukaryota; Metazoa; Chordata; Mammalia; Artiodactyla; Bovidae. The record is from RNAcentral.
AUGCAUGUGUCUUCCCCCAGCCCAGGCAGGAGCUGCCUUAUUACUCCAGGAACCCCAAAUGCAUGCGUCUCCCCCAGCCCAGGCAGGAGCUGCCUUAUUACUCCAGGAACCCCAAAUGCAUGCAUCUCCCCAGCCCAGGCAGGAGCUGCCUUUUACUCCAGGAACCCCAAAUGCAUGCGUCUCCCCAGCCCAGGCAGGAGCUGCCUUAUCACUCCAGGAAUCCCAAAUGCAUGCAUCUCCCCAGCCCAGGCAGGAGCUGCCUUAUCACUCCAGGAACCCCAAAUGCAUGCGUCUCCCCCAGCCCAGGCAGGAGCUGCCUUAUCACUCCAGGAACCCCAAAUGCAUGUGUCUUCCCCCAGCCCAGGCAGGAGCUGCCUUAUCACUCCAGGAACCCCAAAUGCAUGCGUCUCCCCCAGCCCAGGCAGGAGCUGCCUUAUCACUCCAGGAACCCCAAAUGCAUGCGUCUCCCCCAGCCCAGGCAGGAGCUGCCUUAUCACUCCAGGAACCCCAAAUGCAUGCGUCUCCCCCAGCCCAGGCAGGAGCUGCCUUAUCACUCCAGGAACCUCAAAUGCAUGUGUCUCCCCCAGCCCAGGCAGGAGCUGCCUUAUGACUCCAGGAACCCCAAAUGCAUGCGUCUCCCCCAGCCCAGGCAGGAGCUGUCUUAUUACUCCAGGAACCUCAAAUGCAUGUGUCUCCCCCAGCCCAGGCAGGAGCUGCCUUAUUACUCCAGGAACCCCAAAUGCAUGCGUCUCCCCAGCCCAGGCAGGAGCUGUCUUAUUACUCCAGGAACCCCGGGAAGGGAGCCCUGUCCAUCAGACAUGUUGUCCACCUGAUGAACAGACACUGAACAACCCCCUCUGUAUGAUCCCCUCAUACUCAACAUCCAUCUCUGAUUCUUUACAUUGGAAAAAAGGUAAUAAAGAUGGUAUCUGUCUUAAACUCAUUGGUAACACAGUACUUAGUGAUGAAGUUCUGGAAACAUUCUCAUUAAAUCAGGGAAUAAAAUACCCACUCCCACCAGUAUCCUUUACCGUCGUCUAG